AUGGUCGAAGGCUCGGAGUCGGACAUCUCCAACAUCAAGUUCCUCCUCCUCUGUUUCCAACAAAUGUCAGGCCUCAAGAUCAACUUCGACAAGAGCGACGUGAUGGUGAUGGGCCACUCUCCGGAGGAUUGCGUGAGCAUUGCCAACCGUCUGAACUGUCGCUUAGGCUCUUUCCCCACGACCUACUUGGGGACGCCUAUUAGUGACUCUAGGCUUACUGUCGCGGACUUGCGCCCGACCGUGGCCAAGUUCCAAACUCGCAUUGAGCCUUGGCAGGGUAGGUGGCUUUCGAAGACGGCCCGGACGAUCCUCAUUAACUCAUCCCUCGUCAGCCUCCUCUUGUUCCUCAUGAGCUUCUACAGCCUCCACGAGACUUUACACCACGAGAUCGCCAAAGUCCAGUCUCGUUUCUACUGGGCAGGCGAUAAUAAUAAGCAGAAAUACCACAUGGUUAGCUGGCCGGACAUCUGCAAGCCUCGGGAGCAAGGAGGGCUCGACAUCAUGUGUUCUAAACGCAUGAACAUUGCACUAUCCCGCUGGCUCUGGCGCAUCUCGCAGGGACAGGGAGGCCUCUGGCUU
This 579-nucleotide ribosomal RNA is filed under the name Triticum aestivum (bread wheat). Its description in RNAcentral is "partial small subunit ribosomal RNA". Lineage: Eukaryota; Viridiplantae; Streptophyta; Magnoliopsida; Poales; Poaceae. The record is from RNAcentral.